UACGUAGGGUGCGAGCGUUAAUCGGAAUUACUGGGCGUAAAGCGUGCGCAGGCGGUUUUGUAAGCCAGAUGUGAAAUCCCCGGGCUUAAACUGGGAAUGGCAUUUGGGACUGCAAGGCUCGAGUGCGGCAGAGGAGACUGGAAUUCCUGGUGUAGCAGUGAAAUGCGUAGAUAUCAGGAGGAACACCGAUGGCGAAGGCAGGUCUCUGGGCUGACACUGACGCUCAUGCACGAAAGCGUGGGGAGCAAACAGG
This 253-nucleotide ribosomal RNA is filed under the name uncultured bacterium. RNAcentral's name for it is "partial 16S ribosomal RNA". It matches the Rfam family "Bacterial small subunit ribosomal RNA", at positions 524 to 776 of the family's 1533-position model. The record is from RNAcentral.